RNAcentral lists this ribosomal RNA (426 nucleotides) under Arachnia propionica. RNAcentral's name for it is "bacterial SSU rRNA". It matches the Rfam family "Bacterial small subunit ribosomal RNA", at positions 28 to 442 of the family's 1533-position model. Lineage: Bacteria; Bacillati; Actinomycetota; Actinomycetes; Propionibacteriales; Propionibacteriaceae. The record is from RNAcentral.
GACGAACGCUGGCGGUGUGCCUAACACAUGCAAGUCGAACGGUAAGGCCCUUUCGGGGGUACACGAGUGGCGGACGGGUGAGUAACACGUGAGUAACCUGCCCUCAUCUCUGGGAUAACAGUCGGAAACGGUUGCUAAUACUGGAUAUGAGCUUGCAAGGCAUCUUGUGGGUUGGAAAGAUUUUUUGGUUGGGGAUGGACUCGCGGCCUAUCAGCUUGUUGGUGAGGUAGUGGCUCACCAAGGCUUCGACGGGUAGCCGGCCUGAGAGGGCGACCGGCCACAUUGGGACUGAGAUACGGCCCAGACUCCUACGGGAGGCAGCAGUGGGGAAUAUUGCACAAUGGGACGGAAGUCUGAUGCAGCCAACCGCCCGGCGUGCGGGGAUGAACGGGCCCUUUCCGGGGUUGUAAAACCCGCUUUUCAAAU